Molecule: ribosomal RNA, 253 nt
Filed under: uncultured bacterium
Lineage: Bacteria
Description: partial 16S ribosomal RNA
Rfam family: Bacterial small subunit ribosomal RNA
Source: RNAcentral
UACGUAGGGUGCGAGCGUUAAUCGGAAUUACUGGGCGUAAAGCGUGCGCAGGCGGUUUUGUAAGCCAGAUGUGAAAUCCCCGGGCUUAACCUGGGAAUGGCAUUUGGGACUGCAAGGCUCGAGUGCGGCAGAGGAGACUGGAAUUCCUGGUGUAGCAGUGAAAUGCGUAGAUAUCAGGAGGAACACCGAUGGCGAAGGCAGGUCUCUGGGCUGACACUGACGCUCAUGCGCGAAAGCGUGGGGAGCAAACAGG